RNAcentral lists this ribosomal RNA (495 nucleotides) under uncultured bacterium. Its description in RNAcentral is "partial 16S ribosomal RNA". It matches the Rfam family "Bacterial small subunit ribosomal RNA", at positions 28 to 507 of the family's 1533-position model. The record is from RNAcentral.
GACGAACGCUGGCGGCGUGCCUAAUACAUGCAAGUAGAACGCUGAAGGAGGAGCUUGCUUCUCUGGAUGAGUUGCGAACGGGUGAGUAACGCGUAGGUAACCUGCCUGGUAGCGGGGGAUAACUAUUGGAAACGAUAGCUAAUACCGCAUAAGAGUAGAUGUUGCAUGACAUUUGCUUAAAAGGUGCAAUUGCAUCACUACCAGAUGGACCUGCGUUGUAUUAGCUAGUUGGUGAGGUAACGGCUCACCAAGGCGACGAUACAUAGCCGACCUGAGAGGGUGAUCGGCCACACUGGGACUGAGACACGGCCCAGACUCCUACGGGAGGCAGCAGUAGGGAAUCUUCGGCAAUGGACGGAAGUCUGACCGAGCAACGCCGCGUGAGUGAAGAAGGUUUUCGGAUCGUAAAGCUCUGUUGUAAGAGAAGAACGAGUGUGAGAGUGGAAAGUUCACACUGUGGCGGUAUCUUACCAGAAAGGGACGGCUAACUACGUG